Non-coding RNA from Micromonospora sp. HK10, 87 nucleotides. NCBI's taxonomy places the organism in Bacteria, Bacillati, Actinomycetota, Actinomycetes, Micromonosporales, Micromonosporaceae. The record is from Rfam.
GGAGGGUUCGCCUAGUGGCCGAUGGCGCUGGUCUUGAAAACCGGUAAGGCAGCGAUGUCUUCGUGGGUUCGAAUCCCACACCCUCCG